UUGACGCUUUUGUAAUCUAGUCUCCCGCCUUGUGAAAGUUCACCAAAACCGCUUGGAUGGGCAAAGUGCCACGCCCCUUUAAACCGCAACCUUGACAGACUCCGAGGGUACAUUUUGUAAAGGUGGGGGUCUUACCGGAGCUCUGUCUUGUGUGUGUCUGGUUGGCUGCUAUUUGUGAGCACGUCCCUCUGUCUCCUUCAGUCUUUGCUGUUGUUCGCGGCCAGUCCGGCCUGUUGCUGUCGGAUGUCAGGGGCGCUGUAAAUGAAUAAAGGUCUGAGUCCAGGAGCCAGUCACCCUCCUGUGGAAAGCAGCGGCUACCAGAAGAGGGUGAAACACUCGAGCACAUCACGCAUAAGCCCAUAGCCAGUGGAGAAGGCAAUGUCCAAGGUCUCUAACAUUCAAAGGACCAACCUGCCAGCCUGAAAAAGAUCCAUUUAUUCCUACUCUCUGCUUCCCGUUAACCAGCAGAGCCUCAUGUAGAUGAUGUGCAGUGAUGCUGAAAGACCUGAAUAUACUAGAACGAAAAAUAGAGGAGGCCAUCCAUGAUCUUUUUACUGCCAUGGCUUCAGCAUGUCAUCAGCAUGCAAGUGCUUGACUAUCUCCAAGAAGGAACGGCAGCAACAUUCAUGACCCAGAACCAGCAGAAGAGUCAGUGGCUGCCGGGUACCCAGCUCAACCUGGAAUUGAUAUCUGUCACCAUGGGCACACAACUCCAAUGCUGAGGCUGGAUGUGGUCUUGGCAUCUCAAUCUCACUCCAGGUGUCUUUUCAGUUCAAGGAGACAGGGAGGGCACAGCUGAGAUGUGAAGGACUUCAUUCUCCAGGGGAAGAGUACUUGUACCUGACCAAAACUAAGAGAAAAUCUGACUGAGUCUCUACGGUGAGAAUAUUUGGUCCAGUCCUUGCGAUCAGAAAAUGUAACAAAGUCCUACUGCAAUGUGACACACAGCCUUUAUUUCACCAUUUUCAGAAGUCCUCAGGCUGACAAUAUCCUCUGCAAUGGAAGGACCACUUUGAUGCUUGGCAUCUUGAUUCUGCGAGUGAUUAUAGAAGCCUGCAGACUUGGAUUCAAGAGGCAAUCUCAUACCAAGCUCAGGAAUUCUAAGCAAAGAAUUAUCUGAAAAUGACCUAAAAUAAAUCAAAAAACUACAGGCACUGGAGAUCCGUAACAAAAACAGAAAUACUCAACAAACUCGGCUGUCUGGUAGCAUCUGUGCGGUGACUAAAACAGUUAACAUUUCGAGUCCAGUGACUUUUGGUCACAACAUACUGACGAAGGGUCACUGGACGAAUAAUGUUAACUCUUUUUUUCCCUCCACAGAUGCUGCCAGACUUGCUGAGUUUCACAGGCGUUUUGUGUUUCAGAAAAUAGGCUCUUGUAAUGCAGUGGUACUGCUUCUACCUCUGAGCCAGAGCUUCAGAGUUCAAGACCUACCUGCCACAAACAUAUAUUAUAACAUACCUGAACAGAUUGGUAAAGGAAAUAAAAAAGAGCUGCAGUGGCACAGUGGUAGUGAUCCGACCUCUGAACUAGAAGCUCUGGGUUCACGUUCUACUUGUUCCAUAACAUUUCUGAGUUGGUUGAUUAAAAUAUAUCUUGAUGCUCUGGCAAUAAGAAUGCUUGUGGGUCAGUGGUAGUGCCCCCACCUCUGAGUCAGAAGGUCUGGGAUCAAGUCCCACAUGCAUCAGAGGUGUGACAUAACACAUAACGGCUGGAUUAAAAUUAUCUAGCGGCGACAGGAUUCUAUAUCACAGCCUUGUUAGCACCAUGGACAAGUCUCAGUAAUCUUCUGUUUUGUCCUUCCAUGUAAGAGGACCCUGAAGCCCAAUGCGAUGUCAACAUCUGAAAUUGCAUCAGUUAAAUGCAGAAACUGAUGAAUAUUUAUACACAAAUGGCAACCACUUGUACGAGGCCCCAAACGAUGCAC
Stegostoma tigrinum is the source of this 1927-nucleotide long non-coding RNA. RefSeq lists it as uncharacterized. The record is from RefSeq and is a predicted model, not a curated record. Lineage: Eukaryota; Metazoa; Chordata; Chondrichthyes; Orectolobiformes; Stegostomatidae. The transcript is spliced from 4 exons.